This 382-nucleotide long non-coding RNA is filed under the name Coffea arabica (coffee). RNAcentral describes it as "long non-coding RNA (CARA_LNC006590)". Lineage: Eukaryota; Viridiplantae; Streptophyta; Magnoliopsida; Gentianales; Rubiaceae. The record is from RNAcentral.
GUUUAUUUUAUUAAAUCGCCCGGCUUUUCUACAUUUUCUUUAUUAGAAAAAUUCUCCAGAUAAAGUUUAUGAGCAAAGAUAGUUUUAAAAUGAUUUUUCUAGUAUCGGUUAGUUUUUGAGCAAUUAAAAACGUAUUUUGGACGUGGGACCCGCUAGUGCGGUAAAUGCAUUAUAUUUUUGACAACUUGUUGGAAUUUUGUAUUAAGUGAUAUUAUUGUACAAUAUUUUAAGAUAUUUGUAUUGGAGAGACAAAAAGAUAAGUUUUGAACCAAAAGGUGACAAGUGUCACCAUAAGAUUAAGUCUUGAGUUUGACUACUAUUCAUAAUUUUACCAUUUAAUUUAAAUUGGCCCAAAAAUCACUUCAUUUUGCAAGCUUCUUGG